This 67-nucleotide transfer RNA is filed under the name Gonista bicolor. RNAcentral's name for it is "tRNA-Tyr". It matches the Rfam family "tRNA". Rfam says of the family: Transfer RNA (tRNA) molecules are approximately 80 nucleotides in length. Their secondary structure includes four short double-helical elements and three loops (D, anti-codon, and T loops). Further hydrogen bonds mediate the characteristic L-shaped molecular structure. tRNAs have two regions of fundamental functional importance: the anti-codon, which is responsible for specific mRNA codon recognition, and the 3' end, to which the tRNAs corresponding amino acid is attached (by aminoacyl-tRNA synthetases). tRNAs cope with the degeneracy of the genetic code in two manners: having more than one tRNA (with a specific anti-codon) for a particular amino acid; and 'wobble' base-pairing, i.e. permitting non-standard base-pairing at the 3rd anti-codon position. Lineage: Eukaryota; Metazoa; Arthropoda; Insecta; Orthoptera; Acrididae. The record is from RNAcentral.
GGUAAGGUGGCUGAAUUAUAAGUGGUAGAUUGUAAAUCUAUUUAUGAGAUUUAUUUCUCUCUUACCA